UACGUAGGUGGCAAGCGUUGUCCGGAUUUAUUGGGCGUAAAGCGCGCGCAGGCGGUCCUUUAAGUCUGAUGUGAAAUCUUGCGGCUCAACCGCAAGCGGUCAUUGGAAACUGGGGGACUUGAGUACCGGAGAGGAUGGCGGAAUUCCCCAAGUAGAGGUGAAAUUCGUAGAUAUGGGGAGGAACACCGGUGGCGAAGGCGGCCAUCUGGACGGAUACUGACGCUGAGACGCGAAAGCGUGGGUAGCAAACGGG
RNAcentral lists this ribosomal RNA (253 nucleotides) under uncultured bacterium. RNAcentral describes it as "partial 16S ribosomal RNA". It matches the Rfam family "Bacterial small subunit ribosomal RNA", at positions 524 to 776 of the family's 1533-position model. The record is from RNAcentral.